This 404-nucleotide ribosomal RNA is filed under the name uncultured bacterium. RNAcentral describes it as "bacterial SSU rRNA". It matches the Rfam family "Bacterial small subunit ribosomal RNA", at positions 355 to 776 of the family's 1533-position model. The record is from RNAcentral.
UGGGGAAUAUUGCACAAUGGGGGAAACCCUGAUGCAGCGACGCCGCGUGGAGGAAGAAGGCCCUCGGGUUGUAAACUCCUGUCUUUGGGGACGAUAAUGACGGUACCCAAGGAGGAAGCCACGGCUAACUACGUGCCAGCAGCCGCGGUAAAACGUAGGUGGCAAGCGUUGUCCGGAAUUACUGGGUGUAAAGGGAGCGCAGGCGGAGCGGCAAGUUGGAGGUGAAAACCAUGGGCUCAACCCAUGACCUGCCUUCAAAACUGCCGGUCUUGAGUGGUGUAGAGGUAAGCGGAAUUCCCGGUGUAGCGGUGGAAUGCGUAGAUAUCGGGAGGAACACCAGUGGCGAAGGCGGCUUACUGGGCACUAACUGACGCUGAGGCUCGAAAGCAUGGGUAGCAAACAGG